ACCAAGGCCAGGAGAGGAUCUUUACCAAGGUCACCAGCCAGUGAGAGGCAGAGCCAGGCGCAGUCCUCUGCUGAGUGGGAUUCCUGAUGUCUCAUGUGGGGGGCGGGACAGGAAGGAGGAAAGGAAAAAGGAAGGAAACCGGCAUUGCCUGUCGCCCUGCCCCAGCCAGGCUCAUCCAGGAUACCUCCCAUCAGACUCAAACCAAGGAGCACACAGCGCCCUCCCGCCCUGUCUUUCUGGAAUGACUUCUUUACUGGGAGCUCCUCCAGCACAGGGGCCUCAUUUGGCUCAACCAACCCCAGCCUGGAGCCCUGCACACAGUAGGGGUUUAGUAAACACUGGGGUGAAUUAUUCCUAGAAACCGCCAUGUGCCAAGUUCUGCAAUACGGACCUGAGGGCGUCGGUGUUAUUCGCACUAUUGUAGACGAGGAAACUGAGGCUCAGGGAGGUCCAGAGGUCCGGCCCCUCGCCCUCGGUCCCAGAAACAGCCAACGCUAGCAAACAGAGCAUUUGCUCGGUGCACAGCAGAAAUCCAAGCACCUCGCAGGAUGUACUCAUCUAACCUUCAAACAACCCUUGAGGCAGCUACUACCUUCUCCCCAUUUUCCAGAUGUGGACCUGGACGCACAGAGAAUUUUUUAAGUAACUUGCCUGACAAGCCCAAGAACUGGGAUUCGACCCCAGGCUGUCUGGUCUCAGUGCACACCUUUAACCACCUCUCCCCACGAUAAGCUUCCUGGAGAGGGAGAAAGCGGAACUCGCUGGCCUGCGGAUGAGAGGAAAUACGUUCAGAGAGGCUCAGAGACCUACAGAAGACGAGCAGCCACGGGGAGCUCUGGGCACCCAGCAGGGAAGGAGAGCAGGGGCUGAACUGCGCACCCUCUGGGCACCCCCCCCCCAACCAAUGCAGUCCCACGAGCACUGAAACAACCAGGGCUCAGCCUGGCUCCUCCAGCGCUGUCUCCUGGACCAUCCCGUUGCAGGCAAGAAGCAAGGGAGGAAGACACUGAAGGCUGGGGAAGGUCCUUCUUAGGAAAUCACCUUGCAGAGAUGGGCAGCAUUUAUAGGGACACGGAGGGGCUUGACACAGACCAGCUGCUGCCGCCGACGGACAGGCUGCUGGAGCGCCGAUGGGCUCUCAGCAAAAUUGAUAGCCGUUGUCAGAAAAUGAUUUCCCCACAGCCCCAUCGCAGGCCCUCGGAGGAGCUCGAAUCUCAGGCAGCGAUGCCUCCUGGGGCUGGCGGUCAGGCAGGCAGCCAGCCAGGUGGGCGGCCCUUACCUGGCCCAGCUGCUUCCCAGGGGUGGGGAGCCUGCAAUUCCCUGGUGAGGAGAGCCCGCGGGGCCCAUGCCAGGGGCUGUGGGGACAGUAGGAAGCCUGGCCUUCCCUCAGGCGAGAGCGGAGGCUCCCGCCUGUAUCUCCAAGCCCAGUGCAGAGCCUGGUACGGCGCAAGCACCCAGAGAAUGUUAAAUGAAUGAGCAAAUAAUGACAAUUCUAGAAAGCUUCAGAGGACGCCGGACCAGCAUAUAGAGAAAGGAUUCGCCAAAUGGACAAGGAGGGCAGAAGGCACGGGCACUGGCCACCCAGAGCCCACCCAUCCACGCACCUACCCAGUAAAGGAGGGAGUGAGUGAAUGGUGGGAAAUGGUGAACAAGCUCCCCCGUCAAGGCCCAACCUGGACCAGAACCUCCCCUCUCAGGCCCUCGACCCAAACAUGCUCACACCACAGCAAUUUUUUUAAAUUUCAAAUUGACUAUACCUGCUUUUUUAAAAUGACAGGAAAUCGUAUUUGAUGAUGCAAAGCUCUUUCCAUUGUUUUUUCAGAAACAGCUAGAAUCAA
This is a long non-coding RNA of Hipposideros armiger (great roundleaf bat), 1838 nucleotides long. RefSeq lists it as uncharacterized. Lineage: Eukaryota; Metazoa; Chordata; Mammalia; Chiroptera; Hipposideridae. The transcript is spliced from 4 exons. The record is from RefSeq and is a predicted model, not a curated record.